Molecule: non-coding RNA, 97 nt
Filed under: unclassified sequences
Description: L2-Alphaproteobacteria ribosomal protein leader
Rfam family: L2-Alphaproteobacteria ribosomal protein leader
Source: RNAcentral
GGCCACCCUAGUAGGGCGUUUCCAGCGGGGAACAAACGGACGGGGGGCUAUAACCUAAGGGUAGGCAAUCGCCUGCCUCACAAAACGGAAGACAGAA